UACGGAGGGGGCUAGCGUUGCUCGGAAUUACUGGGCGUAAAGCGCACGUAGGCGGCGAUGAUAGUCAGAUGUGAAAGGCCUGGGCUUAACCCGGGAACUGCAUUUGAUACUGCAUUGCUAGAGUCCGAGAGAGGGUGGUGGAAUUCCCAGUGUAGAGGUGAAAUUCGUAGAUAUUGGGAAGAACACCAGUGGCGAAGGCGGCCACCUGGCUCGGUACUGACGCUGAGGUGCGAAAGCGUGGGGAGCGAACAGG
This 253-nucleotide unclassified non-coding RNA is filed under the name uncultured Rhodospirillales bacterium. RNAcentral describes it as "contains 16S-23S intergenic spacer region". It matches the Rfam family "Bacterial small subunit ribosomal RNA", at positions 524 to 776 of the family's 1533-position model. The record is from RNAcentral. Lineage: Bacteria; Pseudomonadati; Pseudomonadota; Alphaproteobacteria; Rhodospirillales.